GACUUGGUAGCUCAGUUGGUAGAGCAUCUCCCUUUUAAGGAGAGGGUCCUGGGUUCGAGCCCCAGCCAGGUCACUA
Molecule: transfer RNA, 76 nt
Filed under: Flavobacteriaceae bacterium TMED42
Lineage: Bacteria; Pseudomonadati; Bacteroidota; Flavobacteriia; Flavobacteriales; Flavobacteriaceae
Description: tRNA-Lys
Rfam family: tRNA
About the family: Transfer RNA (tRNA) molecules are approximately 80 nucleotides in length. Their secondary structure includes four short double-helical elements and three loops (D, anti-codon, and T loops). Further hydrogen bonds mediate the characteristic L-shaped molecular structure. tRNAs have two regions of fundamental functional importance: the anti-codon, which is responsible for specific mRNA codon recognition, and the 3' end, to which the tRNAs corresponding amino acid is attached (by aminoacyl-tRNA synthetases). tRNAs cope with the degeneracy of the genetic code in two manners: having more than one tRNA (with a specific anti-codon) for a particular amino acid; and 'wobble' base-pairing, i.e. permitting non-standard base-pairing at the 3rd anti-codon position.
Source: RNAcentral